GUGACCUGCGGUUGGAUCAUUAAAAAGAUCUAGCCCGAACUUGGAUGUGAUCUUCUUCGGAGGGUCUCAUUCGAUGCCGGGUUUCUCACCUAAAAAGUGAGUUCAACAUUAUGUGAACUGUUCUGUCUCUGGCGGUGGGGUGGCCUAAAACGUCAUCUGUCAGCAUCCGGGUUCUCUCGGUGUGCCGUGGACAAGCCGUCAAUGGUGUAUGUUUCAUACAAACUUUUGUUUUCAUUAAUCUGUCUGACAUAUCUUUGUAUCUAAAAUAUACAAAAACAACUUUUGGCAACGGAUCUCUUGGCUCCCGCAACGAUGAAGAACGCAGCGAAAUGCGAUAUGUAGUGUGAAUUGCAGAAUUCAGUGAAUCAUCGAAUCUUUGAACGCACAUUGCGCUCUCUGGUAUUCCGGGGAGCAUGCUCGUUUCAGAAUCAUUAACAUUCUCAAAGACACGGUUCUCGCAUUUUUGCGAGGCUGGAUCUUUCGGAUGUGAGCCUCUUUGCUUUGAUGCAAUGGCUUGAAAAUGAUUGUGUUUGCUACCGGCCUUAUGGUUCGGUUCUCUCAAGUGCAACAGAUGUUAAUUCAUUUCGUUAAACUCUUGAUGAGGAACGUUCCUCAACCGGUGUUUGGCUUACACUCCAUCAAUUAUACCUUCAGCGAUACGUGUAUCGCUGUUUGAUAACUUGGUCUGAAAUCGAGCAAGAAAACCCGCUGAACUUAAGCAUAUCAAUAAGCGGAGGAAAUCACUAGUGCGGCCGCCUGCAGGUCGANCAUAUGGGANAGCUCCCAACGCGUUGGANGCAUAGCUUGAGUANUCUAUAGUGUCACCUAAAUAGCUUGGCGUAAUC
RNAcentral lists this unclassified non-coding RNA (845 nucleotides) under uncultured fungus. Its description in RNAcentral is "sequence contains ITS1, 5.8S rRNA gene, ITS2". The stretch from base 278 to 431 matches the Rfam family "5.8S ribosomal RNA". Lineage: Eukaryota; Fungi. The record is from RNAcentral.